CCUGCAUGUGGGAGUCGCCGCCCUAUUAGACGCGGCCAAUCACUUUCAAUUUGACCCACUAGAGAGCAGCGCCUCGGAUAUUGCGGCCGGCGACGGCGAGGACGAACCUCAACAAAACCCUCGCAUCGGCCACGUUCAAUGCUGCCAAUGAGGACACUGCAGGGCAAUGAAGACGCAGCUCGAGUCGGUGGGCUGCACAGAGCUUGACCGUGUGCACGGUCUUCCCUCAUGGAAGACCGUCCGGAAGACCGCCCUCAUGGAAGGCCCCGGAAAUCCACAGGUGGUACAGAUACACCGCAUACCGUCAAUUUGCACGGCGGGUGUGGCAUCGGCUGGGACAGGGCAACAGGAAGGUGCUGCCCAGCUGUUUCGUUGCUGUGAGGGACGCCUUCCCAUCUGAGGUGUAUGCAGGAUUUAAAUAUCCGGAUUAUUUAAAAAAUGUAAACAAAA
This is a long non-coding RNA of Dermacentor silvarum, 450 nucleotides long. RefSeq lists it as uncharacterized. The record is from RefSeq and is a predicted model, not a curated record. The transcript is spliced from 3 exons. NCBI's taxonomy places the organism in Eukaryota, Metazoa, Arthropoda, Arachnida, Ixodida, Ixodidae.